This 397-nucleotide ribosomal RNA is filed under the name uncultured bacterium. Its description in RNAcentral is "partial 16S ribosomal RNA". It matches the Rfam family "Bacterial small subunit ribosomal RNA", at positions 523 to 918 of the family's 1533-position model. The record is from RNAcentral.
AUACGUAGGGGGCGAGCGUUGUCCGGAAUGAUUGGGCGUAAAGGGCGCGUAGGCGGCCAGGUAAGUCUGGAGUGAAAGUCCUGUUUUUAAGAUGGGAAUUGCUUUGGAUACUGUCGGGCUUGAGUGCAGGAGAGGUAAGUGGAAUUCCCAGUGUAGCGGUGAAAUGCGUAGAGAUUGGGAGGAACACCAGUGGCGAAGGCGACUUACUGGACUGUAACUGACGCUGAGGCGCGAAAGUGUGGGGAGCAAACAGGAUUAGAUACCCUGGUAGUCCACACUGUAAACGAUGAAUGCUAGGUGUAGGGGGUAUCGACCCCUUCUGUGCCGCAGUCAACACAAUAAGCAUUCCGCCUGGGGAGUACGGCCGCAAGGUUGAAACUCAAAUGAAUUGACGGGG